CAGUAGCCACGGGAAUACGAGGGGGGCAAGUGUUGUUCGGAAUUAUUGGGCGUAAAGGGUGCGUAGGCGGUUUCGUAAGUCUGAUGUGAAAUCUAUGGGCUCAACCCAUAGUCUGCAUCGGAAACUGCGAGGCUUGAGAGUGGGAGAGGUGAGUGGAAUUUCCGGUGUAGCGGUGAAAUGCGUAGAGAUGUGGAGGAACACCAGGGGCGAAGGCGACUCCCUGGUCUGUAACUGGCGCUGAGGAGCGAAAGCGUGGGGAGCGAACAGGAUUAGAGACCCCCGUAGUCCCUGUCUCUUAUAA
Molecule: ribosomal RNA, 301 nt
Filed under: uncultured bacterium
Lineage: Bacteria
Description: partial 16S ribosomal RNA
Rfam family: Bacterial small subunit ribosomal RNA
Source: RNAcentral